RNAcentral lists this ribosomal RNA (375 nucleotides) under uncultured bacterium. Its description in RNAcentral is "bacterial SSU rRNA". It matches the Rfam family "Bacterial small subunit ribosomal RNA", at positions 29 to 414 of the family's 1533-position model. The record is from RNAcentral.
AACGAACGCUGGCGGUAUGCUUAACACAUGCAAGUCGAACGAACAAAAUUGGGGCUUGCUCCAAUUUUAGUGAGUGGCAAACGGGUGAGUAACACGUGGGAAUCUACCUAUCAGUACGGAAUAACAUUUGGAAACAGAUGCUAAUACCGUAUAUUCUCCAAGGAGGAAAGAUUUAUCGCUGAUAGAUGAGCCCGCGUAAGAUUAGGUAGUUGGUAGGGUAAUGGCCUACCAAGCCGACGAUCUUUAGCUGGUCUGAGAGGAUGAUCAGCCACACUGGACUGAGACACGGCCCAGACUCCUACGGGAGGCAGCAGUGGGGAAUAUUGGACAAUGGGCGAAAGACCUGAUCCAGCAAUACCGCGUGAAUGAUGAAGG